GUGACGUCACUACCGUCGAGGCAGUCCCGUGUGGACGAGGCGAGCGCGGAGAGAGGACACAGCUUUGCUCAUCAUGCGGAUACCACCAUGCUGCACCAGCGAAUACCACGCAUGCGGUAUAGGCAAGCGAUUUGAGGGCGCGUUGGCCGUUGUUUGGGUGAGGUUUAAAUGCCCGCACACAAGAGAGGGACGCACACAAGAGAUACACACAAGGGAGGGACACAGACAAGCGACACAAACACGACAGAGGAACAGUGAUCCAAAGAGAGGGACACACGCAAGAGGUCGACCCACACAAGAUGGGCACACACAAGAGAGGGACACACUAAAGAGAUUGGGACAUCAGGUGGAGACGAGACAAGAAA
This is a long non-coding RNA of Nematostella vectensis (starlet sea anemone), 365 nucleotides long. RefSeq lists it as uncharacterized. NCBI's taxonomy places the organism in Eukaryota, Metazoa, Cnidaria, Anthozoa, Actiniaria, Edwardsiidae. The transcript is spliced from 2 exons. The record is from RefSeq and is a predicted model, not a curated record.